RNAcentral lists this ribosomal RNA (492 nucleotides) under uncultured bacterium. RNAcentral's name for it is "partial 16S ribosomal RNA". It matches the Rfam family "Bacterial small subunit ribosomal RNA", at positions 29 to 507 of the family's 1533-position model. The record is from RNAcentral.
AGUGAACGCUGGCGGUAGGCCUAACACAUGCAAGUCGAACGGCAGCACAGUAAGAGCUUGCUCUUACGGGUGGCGGGUGGCGGACGGGUGAGGAAUACAACGGACUCUACUUUUUCGUGGGGGAUAACGUAGGGAAACUUACGCUAAUACCGCAUCCGACCUACGGGUGAAAGCAGGGGAUCUUCGGACUUUGCGCGCUUGAAUGAGGCGAUGUCGGAUUAGCUAGUUGGCGGGGUAAAGGCCCACCAAGGCGACGCUCCGUAGCUGGUCUGAGAGGGUGAUCAGCCACACUGGAACUGGGACCCGGUCCAGACUCCUACGGGAGGCAGCGGUGGGGAAUAUUGGACAAUGGGCGCAAGCCUGAUCCAGCCAUACCGCGUGGGUGAAGAAGGCCUUCGGUUUGUAAAGCCCUUUUGUUGGGAAAGAAAAGCAGCAGGUUAAUACCCCGCUGUUCUGACGGUACCCAAAGAAUAAGCACCGGCUAACUUCGUG